RNAcentral lists this small RNA (619 nucleotides) under Pan troglodytes (chimpanzee). Its description in RNAcentral is "processed transcript". The record is from RNAcentral. Lineage: Eukaryota; Metazoa; Chordata; Mammalia; Primates; Hominidae.
GCUUGACGCAACGUCCAGCGCGCGCUUUUCAUGCCUUGGCGUUUCCUUUGGCGGAUUUUCUGUUUUCGGAAGUUGCUGGGUUCGUUUUAUUCAGCGGCAGUGGUGCUUUCCCGAAUCUCAGAAUGCCUCAUUUGAUCCUUCAAAAAUCACAAGGAAGAAAAGUGUUAUAACUUAUUCUCCAACAACUGGAACUUGUCAAAUGAGUCUAUUUGCUUCUCCCACAAGUUCUGAAGAGCAAAAGCACAGAAAUGGACUAUCAAAUGAAAAGAGAAAAAAAUUGAAUCACCCCAGUUUAACUGAAAGCAAAGAAUCUACAACAAAAGACAAUGAUGAAUUCAUGAUGUUGCUAUCAAAAGUUGAGAAAUUGUCAGAAGAAAUCAUGGAGAUAAUGCAAAAUUUAAGUAGUAUACAGGCUUUGGAGGGCAGUAGAGAGCUUGAAAAUCUCAUUGGAAUCUCCUGUGCAUCACAUUUCUUAAAAAGAGAAAUGCAGAAAACCAAAGAACUAAUGACAAAAGUGAAUAAACAAAAACUGUUUGAAAAGAGUACAGGACUUCCUCACAAAGUGGUUUUCUUUUUUCCUCAGAGAUCCCUGUUCUGAAGUAUGUUCCUUUAAAAGAUC